Molecule: ribosomal RNA, 796 nt
Filed under: uncultured Methanosarcinaceae archaeon
Lineage: Archaea; Methanobacteriati; Methanobacteriota; Methanomicrobia; Methanosarcinales; Methanosarcinaceae
Description: bacterial SSU rRNA
Rfam family: Archaeal small subunit ribosomal RNA
Source: RNAcentral
ACGGCUCAGUAACUCGUGGAUAACCUGCCCUUGGGUCCGGCAUAACCCCGGGAAACUGGGGAUAAUUCCGGAUAACGCGCAUAUGCUGGAAUGCUUUAUGCGUAAAAUGGAUUCGUCUGCCCAAGGAUGGGUCUGCGGCCUAUCAGGUAGUAGUGGGUGUAAUGUACCUACUAGCCAACAACGGGUACGGGUUGUGAGAGCAAGAGCCCGGAGAUGGAUUCUGAGACAUGAAUCCAGGCCCUACGGGGCGCAGCAGGCGCGAAAACUUUACAAUGCGGGAAACCGUGAUAAGGGGACACCGAGUGCCAGCAUCAUAUGCUGGCUGUCCAGGUGUGUAAAAUACACCUGUCAGCAAGGGCCGGGCAAGACCGGUGCCAGCCGCCGCGGUAACACCGGCGGCCCGAGUGGUGAUCGUGAUUAUUGGGUCUAAAGGGUCCGUAGCCGGUUUGGUCAGUCCUCCGGGAAAUCUGACGGCUCAACCGUUAGGCUUUCGGGGGAUACUGCCAGGCUUGGAACCGGGAGAGGUAAGAGGUACUACAGGGGUAGGAGUGAAAUCUUGUAAUCCCUGUGAGACCACCUGUGGCGAAGGCGUCUUACCAGAACGGGUUCGACGGUGAGGGACGAAAGCUGGGGGCACGAACCGGAUUAGAUACCCGGGUAGUCCCAGCCGUAAACGAUGCUCGCUAGGUGUCAGGCAUGGCGCGACCGUGUCUGGUGCCGCAGGGAAGCCGUGAAGCGAGCCACCUGGGAAGUACGGCCGCAAGGCUGAAACUUAAAGGAAUUGGCGGGGGAGCAC